CAGCCUGUAGAACUUCCGGCAGCAACUGCAAUUAGGGGUAGUCCAGUGCUAAAUUGUCGCAGCCUUGAAAAUAUUCUGCUUCGUUAUUUCGGGCACUCCACAGAUUCUGUUGCGAAGGCAGCCAUCUUUAGUUCGUCUUUCCUAGAGAGCGUUGAGAAGAUUCUGCUCCAUUUUUUCUGAUUAUGGAUUCUGUUCAGAAGGAAGCCGAAUUUUAAGUCAUCGUUCUAGGAUAGACUUGGACAACGAGCAGUGCAAGAUCCCUAGUAUUUUAGUAUGAAAAUUUCCAGACCUAUAGAAAAUUUGAAAUACUUGCACCAUGAAUAUCCAGAUUCAGCUCCAUUUUCUCUGGUGGUAGAUCUCCAUGGAUGCUAUUGAGAAGGUACUUCUCAAAGUCCACGAGGACAAGGACAUCUUUCCACCGAAUGCCACCUGGUUUAUAACAAAAGCAUGAAAAACAAACAGGAAUUUCUCAAUGCAGAAAGGACUGAAGCUGUCAAAGGUGUGCUUUUUUUCUGCACAAACAAGUUUCCAUUGAAUGAUAGAAUAAAGAGAUACUGACUUCCCCGGAGCCUCCAAACUUGAGUAGUCAGGUAAGGAUCCUUGAGUAACAAGACAGCAAAGUAAGUAUUAUCCCUCCUGGGAUUUUGGUUGGUUACAACAUUGUGUUGAGUAUUUGCAUUCCAUUUUUCCCUUGGGGAAUUACACUUUCUGAGACCUCAAUUUAGGAGGCUUAAGUGAAGAUAAUCCAUCCCCAGUUACACUUGGCCUGCAUAAACCAAGCAGAUCAAAAAGAGUGCUAUGUUCAUUACUCAAUGAAUUGGUCGAUAUUGGCUUCCUUGAUAUAUAAAACUCCAUUAGUCAAAAAUAUCUUCUAAAUCUAAUGCCUUGCUUUACUCCAAAAGGCUGAUUCUUUGCUACGGCCCUAAUCUGUGGAAAUUGCAAUGUUAUUUUUCUGGACUAUUAUGGCAUAUUUAAGCCAAGAACAUGGGGUCAAGGAUACCUCUGCAGAUGUUGUUCUGGAUUUCAGGCAACGGUCUGGAAAUUUUAAGUAACUCUCGUGUUAUUUGAAUUAGGUAAAGCGUGUUCACAUUUGGACAGCAUUUAUUCUUUGGUGUACCAGGGAUCCCCAAGACCACUCUCAGGAUAGAUGAUUUGUUAGAAGAAUUCACAGAACCCAGAAAAGCUAUUAUAAGUUGGACAUGAUGGCUUGCACCUAUAGGCCUAGCUACUUGGGAAGCUGAGAUGAGAGGAUUCCUGGAGCCAAGGAGUUUGAGGCUGCAGUGAACUAUGAUCAGGCCACUGCACUCCAGCCUGAGUGACAGAGCAAGACCCCAUGUGCAAAAAUAAAAAUAAAUAACAAAGAAUAAACAAAAGCUAUUAUACUCAUAAUUACAGUUUUUUACAGCAAAAGGGUAUACAUUAAAAUCAGCAAAGGGAAAAGGCACAUAGGGAGAGAGUCCAAAAGAAACCAGACUGAAGCUUCCAGCUAUCCUCUCCCUGCGGAGUUAUAUGAACAGUGUUUAAUUCUUCCAGCACGUGAUGUGUGACACAGUACAUGCAAAGUGUUACCAGCCUUGGUCAUAGAGCCAUGGAGGGUCUGGAUCAUUGACCUUUGCUACUCAGUUCCAGCCCCCACAGAGGUCAAAAUGAUACAACAUGUCCUAAAGUGCCAAGCAUACAAAAGCAGAUAUUUAGCAUGAAGCACAUAUUUAGCAUAAACUAUCUGGUGUGCCCCAGAUAGUUUCUACUAAAAAUACAAAAAAUUAGCCAGGUGUGGUGGCGCGCACCUGUAAUCCCAGCUACUCGGGAAGUUGAAGCAGGAGAAUCGCUUGAACCCAGGAGGUGGAGGUUGCAGUGAGCUGAGAUUGUGCCACUGCACUCCAGCCUGGGCGACAAGAGCGAGACUCCAU
Molecule: long non-coding RNA, 1910 nt
Filed under: Homo sapiens (human)
Lineage: Eukaryota; Metazoa; Chordata; Mammalia; Primates; Hominidae
Description: HSALNT0281150
Source: RNAcentral